Molecule: long non-coding RNA, 1864 nt
Organism: Amphiprion ocellaris (clown anemonefish)
Lineage: Eukaryota; Metazoa; Chordata; Actinopteri; Pomacentridae
Exons: 3
Source: RefSeq, a predicted model, not a curated record
CUUUGAGACCACCCUAGUGGAAGGAGAGGAGGCAGCUGAGGAAUAUCAGAGAGCCAUCAGUAGAAUCUAAACCCCCAGACAGAGCCGAGGCCAGAUCUCAGCCUGAGGAGCCACAAACCAACACCUGACUCUUUUAUGGCUUCAAGCUAAUAGAACUCAUUCUGUUUCCUGACUCAUUACUAUAAACCUGCUCCUGUGACCUUCUGUUUGGCACAAUAUCUGUAAAUGAUGACUUUUUCCCCUUAAUGGGCCAGGCUUAAACUAAGAAACUGACUGCAUCGGUGUUACACUGCAAAAACGCUAAAUCCUACCAAGUCUGUUUGUCUUAUUGUUAGUCUAAAUGUCUCAUCCCAUUUGAUUCAAGAUAAAUUCACUUAACAAGAGACAUUUCAGCAGAUGGAGGGGCUUGUUUUAAGACAAUGCACCUUAACCCUCCUGUUGUCUUCAUUUAUGGGCACCAAAAAAUAUUGUUCCUUCAUCUGAAAAAAAUCCAAAAAUUGAGCAAAACAAAUUCACCAACUUCAUAAAAUUUUGCAAAACCUUCAGGAAGAAAAUUCUAAAAAAUCCUUAAAGAUUUCCCUUAACAUUUUUUUUUUUUUUAAAUCCCCAAAUUUGGCAAGAAAUAAAAAUUUAAAAAAUAAAAAUAAAAUAAAAAUUGUAUUUUUUUUAAAUGAAUACAAAUCUUUCAAAAAACAUUUCUUUUUUUCCACCAAAAAAUGUUAACAGAUUUCCCAAAAAUGUUGAAAAUGUGGACAUCAGAAGUUUCACUAUGAAAAUAUUUUUUUCCCCACAUUUUCAAACUUUAAAUUUGCCAAACCUUCAGGAAGAAAAUUCCAAUAAUUCCUUAAGUUUCCCUGAAAAGUUUUCUUUUUAAAAAAAUCCCCCAAAUUUGGCAAGAAAAUUCUUGUAAAUAUUUUCAAAAAAUGAGUAAAAAUCUUCAAAAAAAAUCCUAAAAAUAUCUAAAGUGAUUCCAUAUAUAUCAGUAAAACUUCUAAUAUUUUCUUUAGGAAUAUUCACAUAAAAAUCAACCAAAAUCCAGCGAAUUUUGUUUGAUUUUUUUCUGAAUGUUCUUAAAGAAACAUAUUUUUUUGAACAUUUCUUUUUUUCCACCAAAAAAUGUUCAAAAAUUUCCCAAAAAUGUUGAAAAUGUGGACAUGACGUUUCACUGUGAAAAUAUAUAUUCUUUUCCACAUUUUCAAACUUUAAAACGGGUCAAUUUUGACCUGCAGGACGACACAAGGGUUAAAUAUCUUGUUAAGUCAAACAAUCUUGAAAUUAUCUUGUUUUGAGUUGUAUUUUACAAGAAAACUCAAAAUAAGUUUAAUACAUCUCAAAUUAGGAGGUUACAUGAAGGCAAAAAUCUAUUUUUGAGUGAAAAACUGCUAUAUUUUUUAGCAUGUCUAGCUUAUUUUAAGACACCUAAGCUUGACAAUCCUGGUAAAAUAGAGCUUCAAAUAAGUUUCACAGCUAAUUUUAAGAUCUCAAUAUUCUAAAUAUCAUAUCUUAUUUCAAGAAAUCUGACCAAGACAUUUUUCACUUGUUCUGUUGGCAGAUUUUUUCACUUAUUUCAAGGUAAAAGUUCUUUGAAACAAGUUUAUUUUUCUUGUUUUUAGAGGGGCAUUUUGUCCAGUGUAGAAUUACUCAUGCUGUCACUCUGCCAGCCUACACUUAUUGUCCAUCUAUCUCCCGUCCUGUAUUGAAGCUGUACCGUCUCCUGUGUGUUUGCUGCAUAUCUAAUAGUUAUUAAAAUCUGCAGGCUGGAAGCUGUCAGAGCCCAUUCUUCAUUGUGAAGUGCGCUUGGCAAGCUAAAAGAUGCUUCAGAAUUAAUCUGACAUUAAAACCAAGAAAGUAAUUUUCUUCCACA